AGAGUUUGAUCAUGGCUCAGGAUGAACGCUAGCUACAGGCUUAACACAUGCAAGUCGAGGGGAAACGACAUCGAAAGCUUGCUUUUGAUGGGCGUCGACCGGCGCACGGGUGAGUAACGCGUAUCCAACCUGCCCACCACUUGGGGAUAACCUUGCGAAAGUAAGACUAAAUACCCAAUGACGUCUCUAGAAGACAUCUGAAGGAGAUUAAAGAUUAUCGGUGAUGGAUGGGGAUGCGUCUGAUUAGCUUGGUUGGCGGGGUAACGGCCCACCAAGGCGACGAUCAGUAGGGGUUCUGAGAGGAAGGUCCCCCACAGUUGGAACUGAGACACGGUCCAAACUCCGUACGGAGGC
Molecule: ribosomal RNA, 354 nt
Filed under: uncultured bacterium
Lineage: Bacteria
Description: bacterial SSU rRNA
Rfam family: Bacterial small subunit ribosomal RNA
Source: RNAcentral